AGUGAACGCUGGCGGUAGGCCUAACACAUGCAAGUCGAACGGCAGCACAUUAAGAGCUUGCUCUUACGGGUGGCGAGUGGCGGACGAGUGAGGAAUACAUCGGAAUCUACUUUUUCGUGGGGGAUAACGUAGGGAAACUUACGCUAAUACCGCAUAUGACCUACGGGUGAAAGCAGGCGAUCUUCGGACUUUGCGCGAUUGAAUGAGCCGAUGUCGGAUUUGCUAGUUGGUGGGGUAAGGGCCCACUAAGGCGACGAUCCGUAGCUGGUCUGCGAGGCUAAGCAGCCAAGCUGGAACUAGAAAGCGUACCAGACCACUGUGAGAGGCACAAGUGGGAGAUAUUGGAGAGAGGGCGCAAGCCUGAUCCAGCCACACCGGGUGGGAGAAGAAGGCCUUCGGGUUGUGAGACCCUUUUGUUGGGAAAGAAAAGCAGCAGGUUAAUACCCCGCUGUUCUGACGGUACCCAAAGAAUAAGCACCGGCUAACUUCGUG
This 492-nucleotide ribosomal RNA is filed under the name uncultured bacterium. RNAcentral's name for it is "partial 16S ribosomal RNA". It matches the Rfam family "Bacterial small subunit ribosomal RNA", at positions 29 to 507 of the family's 1533-position model. The record is from RNAcentral.